GUGCGAGAAUUUCGAUUUUAGCUUUGUAGUGGAAAGCGGCGGACGGGUGAGUAACGCGUAGGCAACCUGCCCUUAGCUGAGGGAUAGCCACGGGAAACCGUGAUUAAUACCUCAUAAUGCGAAAGAACUACAUGGUUCUUUCGCCAAAGAUUUAUCGGCUAAGGAUGGGCCUGCGUCUGAUUAGGUAGUUGGUGGGGUAACGGCUCACCAAGCCUACGAUCAGUAGCCGACCUGAGAGGGUAAUCGGCCACAUUGGAACUGAGACACGGUCCAAACUCCUACGGGAGGCAGCAGUGGGGAAUAUUGCACAAUGGGCGCAAGCCUGAUGCAGCAACGCCGCGUGAAUGAAGAAGGUCCUAUGGAUUGUAAAAUUCUGAUCUGAGGGAAGAUAAUGACGGUACCUCAGGAGAAAGCCCCGGCUAACUACGUGCCAGCAGCCGCGGUAAUACGUAGGGGGCAAGCGUUAUCCGGAAUUAUUGGGCGUAAAGAGUGCGUANGUGGCUUUCUAAGCGAGGGGU
RNAcentral lists this ribosomal RNA (518 nucleotides) under uncultured bacterium. Its description in RNAcentral is "bacterial SSU rRNA". It matches the Rfam family "Bacterial small subunit ribosomal RNA", at positions 64 to 595 of the family's 1533-position model. The record is from RNAcentral.